Molecule: transfer RNA, 75 nt
Filed under: Thermodesulforhabdus norvegica
Lineage: Bacteria; Pseudomonadati; Thermodesulfobacteriota; Syntrophobacteria; Syntrophobacterales; Thermodesulforhabdaceae
Also listed under: 3 other names
Description: tRNA_Thr_CGT
Rfam family: tRNA
About the family: Transfer RNA (tRNA) molecules are approximately 80 nucleotides in length.
Source: RNAcentral
GCCGGCGUAGCUCAGCGGUAGAGCAGCUGAUUCGUAAUCAGCAGGCCACCGGUUCAAAUCCGGUCGCCGGCUCCA